GUGUGAAAAACUCCGGUGGUGUGAGAUGGAUCCGCGUCUGAUUAGGUAGUUGGUGGGGUAACGGCCCACCAAGCCGACGAUCAGUAGCCGACCUGAGAGGGUGACCGGCCACAUUGGGACUGAGACACGGCCCAAACUCCUACGGGAGGCAGCAGUGGGGAAUAUUGCACAAUGGGCGAAAGCCUGAUGCAGCGACGCCGCGUGAGUGAAGAAGUAUCUCGGUAUGUAAAGCUCUAUCAGCAGGGAAGAAAAUGACGGUACCUGACUAAGAAGCCCCGGCUAACUACGUGCCAGCAGCCGCGGUAAUACGUAGGGGGCAAGCGUUAUCCGGAUUUACUG
Molecule: ribosomal RNA, 339 nt
Filed under: uncultured bacterium
Lineage: Bacteria
Description: bacterial SSU rRNA
Rfam family: Bacterial small subunit ribosomal RNA
Source: RNAcentral